RNAcentral lists this unclassified non-coding RNA (352 nucleotides) under Trechispora sp. RNAcentral describes it as "partial contains 5.8S ribosomal RNA, internal transcribed spacer 2, and large subunit ribosomal RNA". The stretch from base 1 to 71 matches the Rfam family "5.8S ribosomal RNA", at positions 84 to 154 of the family's 154-position model. Lineage: Eukaryota; Fungi; Basidiomycota; Agaricomycetes; Trechisporales; Hydnodontaceae. The record is from RNAcentral.
GUGAGUCAUCGAAUCUUUGAACGCACCUUGCGCUCCUUGGUAUUCCGAGGAGCAUGCCUGUUUGAGUGUCUUGAAGUCAUCAACCCUGUCCGUUUUCUUUUUUGAGCCGGGCAGUCUGGUUGGAUAUGGGGGAUUGCUGCUGUGAGGCGGCUCCCCCCAAAUGCAUCGGUUGGACCUGUGGGUUGAACUCGACUGGGCGUUGUACCAUCCUCGCUCCGAAAAAAACCGAGACGUUCCCACCAUCUGUGUCCUCCCCAAGACUGGCCUGUGGAGUGGCAGUCAAACUUUUCAAAUCUGACCUCAAAUCAGGUAGGACUACCCGCUGAACUUAAGCAUAUCAAUAAGCGGAGGA